Molecule: ribosomal RNA, 417 nt
Filed under: uncultured bacterium
Lineage: Bacteria
Description: bacterial SSU rRNA
Rfam family: Bacterial small subunit ribosomal RNA
Source: RNAcentral
UGGGGAAUAUUGCACAAUGGGGGAAACCCUGAUGCAGCGACGCCGCGUGAGCGAGGAAGUAUUUCGGUAUGUAAAGCUCUGUCAGCAGGGAAGAAUUUAUGACGGUACCUGAAGAAGAAGCACCGGCUAAAUACGUGCCAGCAGCCGCGGUAAUACGUAUGGUGCAAGCGUUAUCCGGAUUUACUGGGUGUAAAGGGAGCGCAGGCGGUCCUGCAAGUCUGGUGUGAAAGCCCGGGGCUCAACCCCGGGACUGCACUGGAAACUGUAGGACUGGAGUGUCGGAGGGGUAAGCGGAAUUCCUGGUGUAGCGGUGAAAUGCGUAGAUAUCAGGAGGAACACCGGUGGCGAAGGCGGCUUACUGGACGAUGACUGACGCUGAGGCUCGAAAGCGUGGGGAGCAAACAGGAUUAGAUACCC